UACAUGGGGUGCAAACGUUGCUCGGAAUUAUUGGGCGUAAAGCGCACGUAGGCGGUUCGUUAAGUCGGAUGUGAAAGCCCUCGGCUCAACUGAGGAAGUGCACCCGAAACUGGCGAGCUUGAGUACGAAAGAGGAUCGCGGAAUUCCCGGUGUAGAGGUGAAAUUCGUAGAUAUCGGGGAGAACGACGGUGCGAAGGCGGCGCGCUGGACCUCUACUGACGCUGAGGCGCGAAAGCCAGGGGAGCAAACGGG
Molecule: ribosomal RNA, 252 nt
Filed under: uncultured bacterium
Lineage: Bacteria
Description: partial 16S ribosomal RNA
Rfam family: Bacterial small subunit ribosomal RNA
Source: RNAcentral